Molecule: small RNA, 82 nt
Filed under: Flavobacterium caeni
Lineage: Bacteria; Pseudomonadati; Bacteroidota; Flavobacteriia; Flavobacteriales; Flavobacteriaceae
Description: Flavo-1 RNA
Rfam family: Flavo-1 RNA
Source: Rfam by way of RNAcentral
GCAUAGCCCCGAUUGCAACGGAAAUCCUUUUUAAAACUUUACAAAAGUUUUAAAAAGAUUGCAGUGAAAAGCGGGAAAAAGC